RNAcentral lists this unclassified non-coding RNA (241 nucleotides) under Myrmecridium schulzeri. RNAcentral describes it as "partial internal transcribed spacer region". The stretch from base 1 to 46 matches the Rfam family "Eukaryotic small subunit ribosomal RNA", at positions 1786 to 1831 of the family's 1831-position model. Lineage: Eukaryota; Fungi; Ascomycota; Sordariomycetes; Myrmecridiales; Myrmecridiaceae. The record is from RNAcentral.
AAGUCGUAACAAGGUCUCCGUUGGUGAACCAGCGGAGGGAUCAUUACGAGAGUGUCACCACUCCCAACCCAUUGUUUACCUACCCGUCCACCGUGCUUCGGCAGGCAGCCCUGUGGGACAGAGCCUCGCCCCCCUUCCGGGGGGUGCCUGCCGCUGGCCAACCAUACAUUCUAGUUAUUUGAGUACCAUCUGAGUCUUCCACAAAUGAACAAAACUUUCAACAACGGAUCUCUUGGUUCUG